Molecule: ribosomal RNA, 397 nt
Filed under: uncultured bacterium
Lineage: Bacteria
Description: partial 16S ribosomal RNA
Rfam family: Bacterial small subunit ribosomal RNA
Source: RNAcentral
AUACGUAGGGGGCGAGCGUUGUCCGGAAUGAUUGGGCGUAAAGGGCGCGUAGGCGGCCCGGUAAGUCUGGAGUGAAAGUCCUGCUUUUAAGGUGGGAAUUGCUUUGGAUACUGUCGGGCUUGAGUGCAGGAGAGGUAAGUGGAAUUCCCAGUGUAGCGGUGAAAUGCGUAGAGAUUGGGAGGAACACCAGUGGCGAAGGCGACUUACUGGACUGUAACUGACGCUGAGGCGCGAAAGUGUGGGGAGCAAACAGGAUUAGAUACCCUGGUAGUCCACACUGUAAACGAUGAAUGCUAGGUGUAGGGGGUAUCGACCCCUUCUGUGCCGCAGUAAACACAAUAAGCAUUCCGCCUGGGGAGUACGGCCGCAAGGUUGAGACUCAAAGGAAUUGACGGGG